This 248-nucleotide ribosomal RNA is filed under the name uncultured bacterium. RNAcentral describes it as "partial small subunit ribosomal RNA". It matches the Rfam family "Bacterial small subunit ribosomal RNA", at positions 26 to 285 of the family's 1533-position model. The record is from RNAcentral.
AGAAUCAACGCUGGCGGCGUGCCUAACACAUGCAAGUCGAACGAGAAAGUGGAGCAAUCCAUGAGUAAAGUGGCGCACGGGUGAGUAACACGUGACUAACCUACCCUUGAGUGGGGGAUAACCUAGAGAAAUCUGGGCUAAUACCGCAUAAUACCUUCGGGUCAAAGGAGCAAUGCGCUUGGGAGAGGAGUUCGCGGCCGAUUAGGUUAGUUGGCCGGGGUAAUGGCCCACCAAGACGAUGAUCGGUA